GUUUACAGCCAUGCCACCCUGAACAUGCCUGAUCUCAUCUGCUCUUAGAAGCUAAGCAGGGUCAGGCCUGGUUAGGACUUGGGUGGGAGCCCACCUGGGAAUACCGGGUGCUGUCAGCU
This 119-nucleotide ribosomal RNA is filed under the name Saimiri boliviensis boliviensis (Bolivian squirrel monkey). The record is from RNAcentral. Lineage: Eukaryota; Metazoa; Chordata; Mammalia; Primates; Cebidae.